GAAAUUCCAAUCGAACCUGGAGAUAGCUGGUUCUCUCCGAAAUAGCUUUAGGGCUAGCCUCAAGGCAAGAGUACCGGAGGUAGAGCACUGUUUGGACUAGGGGCCCUCAUCGGGUUACCGAAUUCAGACAAACUCCGAAUGCCGGAUACUCAUCCUUGGGAGUCAGACUGCGAGUGAUAAGAUCCGUAGUCGAGAGGGAAACAACCCAGACCGCCAGCUAAGGUCCCCAAGUAUACGUUAAGUGGAAAAGGAUGUGGAGUUGCUUAGACAACCAGGAUGUUGGCUUAGAAGCAGCCACCAUUCAAAGAGUGCGUAAUAGCUCACUGGUCGAGUGACUCUGCGCCGAAAAUGUACCGGGGCUAAACGUAUCACCGAAGCUGCGGAUUG
This 387-nucleotide ribosomal RNA is filed under the name Siminovitchia fortis. RNAcentral describes it as "Bacillus fortis Bacterial large subunit ribosomal RNA". It matches the Rfam family "Bacterial large subunit ribosomal RNA", at positions 823 to 1209 of the family's 2925-position model. The record is from Rfam by way of RNAcentral. Lineage: Bacteria; Bacillati; Bacillota; Bacilli; Caryophanales; Bacillaceae.